Molecule: long non-coding RNA, 944 nt
Filed under: Mus musculus (house mouse)
Lineage: Eukaryota; Metazoa; Chordata; Mammalia; Rodentia; Muridae
Description: long non-coding RNA chr5:113165313-113166257
Source: RNAcentral
AGACAGAGCAGGUGACGCCUGUACUCUGCGCUCAGACUGACAGACUGACUGACUGACUGACUGACUGGGCACUCUGCUAACGGGGUGAGGAGAAGCAGGGCCUUAGGGCUGACUGCUGACUAAAGGACUGACUGCCCAGAGGCCGGGCGGGCAGACAGAUCCUGCUGCUGUGGGCUCCUCUAGACCAACGGCAAAGCAGAGUGGGCAGCAGGGAGAAGGGAAGAGAGACGGGAGGCGAGGCCGGGAGUGACAAGCAGAAAGAGACACAGGAUAUGGAAUGACAGGGAGCCACAUGGGCAGGAAAGAGAGGAACCCCAAAGCCACAUAAGACAGAUGGCCCAGCAGGGAGCCAGGGACAAGGAGAACAGGGCCCAGCUGGGGAGCUCACAGGACAGCAGGAGGCAUAGGGGCGGAGCCUCAGUAGAGGGGGCGGAGCAUCGAUGACAGUGAAGGGCACCAUGGGAGGUAGUGGUAGGGGAAGACAAGAGAAAAAAGAAACUUCCAAACUCAGACCAGGCAAGCCCAGGGUGUAGACAGAACGCACGGAAAACGGCAGAUUACGAUGUAUUAUUAGAUGUAUUAUGUGAACGCCCUACCCCAGGGCCCUAUUCGCCUCUCCCCACCGGACCCUGACGACCCCCAAAACUAUGCUUCCGCCUACGAUCUUGAAACUGGCGAUGUCUGAAGCCAGUGGUGCAGACAGCAUAGGGAACCCGACGUGGGCUCAUUCUGGAUCGUGGGGCCAGCCUCAGAAGGUGAAGCCAUGAGGGACCCACUUCUCAGGCUUCGGAAGGGCUGAAGGGACAGCUCAACCCUUCUGUCAUCUGAGGACACCCAGAGGCACCAUCGUGAGGAAGAACAGGUCCUCUGUGGAGGGACGGAAGCCUCCAACUUCUUGACCUUGUGCUUUCAGCCUCCAGGAAUAAAUAUCAGUCCCUCCCUCU